AGCCCCUCAAGCCCGGCUUGUGUGAUGGACGACCGUCCGGCGCCCCCGUCUCUGGGGGUGCGGGACGCGCCCGAAAAGCAGUGGCCAGGCCGCGAUUCCGGCUUUCUAGGCGAAUGGGCAACAAACCAGCGCCUCCAGGACCGGCCGCCCUGGCCUCAAAAUCUGUUUUAUACUUAUCAGG
This 181-nucleotide unclassified non-coding RNA is filed under the name Trichophyton tonsurans. Its description in RNAcentral is "ITS2". Lineage: Eukaryota; Fungi; Ascomycota; Eurotiomycetes; Onygenales; Arthrodermataceae. The record is from RNAcentral.